RNAcentral lists this long non-coding RNA (281 nucleotides) under Lotus japonicus. RNAcentral describes it as "long non-coding RNA (LJAP_LNC001885)". The record is from RNAcentral. Lineage: Eukaryota; Viridiplantae; Streptophyta; Magnoliopsida; Fabales; Fabaceae.
CGUAGGUUGUUGGGGUGGGAAUGCAAAUCAGUUUGUGUGUUAUUUGGAGAGAUAAUGAUUGACUGAGUAUUUAAAUUUGGGGAGUUGAAUUGAGGCGCAAGAUUAGGAGCAAGGGGUGGGUUAUUUGCUGACACAGUAUUUUUGUGGAAGAGAGUGGGGAAGUGAGGUUGAAUUUGAAUUAGAAGAUGAGGCAGGUAAAGAAGAGUAAGGAAAAAUAUUCUUAACAAACCUUACAUGUUGUGAUGUAUACAGUUUUUCCUUAUAUUCUUGAGUUUGUUCUU